UCCCCGUUGUCCGAGGCGGUUCCCCGAAGGGCUGUCCGGCCAGACACAGGUAACUGGCCGCGGGGGUUGCGCUCGUUGCGGGACUUAACCCAACAUCUCACGACACGAGCUGACGACAGCCAUGCAGCAUCUGUGGAGCACCCUCGAAGGCGACCGUGUUUCCACGGCUUGCAGCUCCAUGUCAAGUCUGGGUAAGGUUAAGCGCGUUGCGUCGAAUUAAACCACACGCUCCGCUGCCUGUGCGGGCCCCCGUCAAUUCCUUUGAGUUUCAGCCUUGCGGCCGUACUCCCCAGGCGGGGUGCUUAAUGCGUUAGCUACGGCACGGAGCGAGUCAAUCGCCGCCCCACACCUAGCACCCAACGUUUACGGCUAGGACUAC
Molecule: unclassified non-coding RNA, 379 nt
Filed under: uncultured bacterium
Lineage: Bacteria
Description: contains 16S-23S intergenic spacer region
Source: RNAcentral